RNAcentral lists this ribosomal RNA (700 nucleotides) under uncultured Nitrospira sp. RNAcentral's name for it is "bacterial SSU rRNA". It matches the Rfam family "Bacterial small subunit ribosomal RNA", at positions 59 to 751 of the family's 1533-position model. Lineage: Bacteria; Pseudomonadati; Nitrospirota; Nitrospiria; Nitrospirales; Nitrospiraceae. The record is from RNAcentral.
CAGUCGAGCGAGAAGACGUAGCAAUACGUUUGUAAAGCGGCGAACGGGUGAGGAAUACAUGGGUAACCUACCCUAGAGUGGGGAAUAACCAGCCGAAAGGUUGGCUAAUACCGCGUACGCUUCUUGGACUUCGGUUCAGGGAGGAAAGCGCUACCGAGGGUAGCGCGCUCUUGGAUGGGCUCAUGUCCUAUCAGCUUGUUGGUGAGGUAAUGGCUCACCAAGGCUUCGACGGGUAGCUGGUCUGAGAGGACGAUCAGCCACACUGGCACUGCGACACGGGCCAGACUCCUACGGGAGGCAGCAGUAAGGAAUAUUGCGCAAUGGGCGAAAGCCUGACGCAGCGACGCCGCGUGGGGGAUGAAGGUCUUCGGAUUGUAAACCCCUUUCGGGAGGGAAGAUGGAAUGGGGUAACUCAUUCGGACGGUACCUCCAGAAGCAGUCGCGGCUAACUUCGUGCCAGCAGCCGCGGUAAUACGAAGGUGGCAAGCGUUAUUCGGAUUUACUGGGCGUACAGGGAGCGUAGGCGGUUUGGUAAGCCCUCUGUGAAAUCUCCAGGCUUAACCUGGAAAAGUCGGAGGGGACUGCUGGGCUAGAGGACGGGAGAGGAGCGCGGAAUUCCCGGUGUAGCGGUGAAAUGCGUAGAGAUCGGGAGGAAGGCCGGUGGCGAAGGCGGCGCUCUGGAACGUUUCUGACGCUGAGG